AAGCGCUGCAUAUAGAACGGCUGGUGAGAAUUGUUCUGCGUUAAGCAGCUGCAUGAAGUGAGUUUUGAGCUGUUCUGCAGAAAGACUAACUGCAAUAGAAUUUCUUUUUCCUACAACCAAUUUAACUGCUUUCCAAAACUAUCUUGGCGAUCUGGCUUCGUUAAUAAAAUCUAUGUUUUUUAGAUCAUACGUUUUUUUCUUUGCGGAGCAUAGGUUUUUAAAAUGUUUGUUUGGUGCUGCAUAGUUUGCUUGUAUAAAGCUAUUAUUCAUUUUCCGAAACAGUCGUAAAAAUACAAAGGAAAUAUCUCUUACUUUUCUGCAUUCAUCAUGAAACCACUUCUGCUUAAUUUGUUUGGUUCUGUAAGCCAGAUUGUUGAACUUUGGGCCAGCGGUUUUUAUCAUUUCAGUUAGUUUUUCGACUUUGAUAUUUUCUGGGGCCUGAUUAUGAGGUUCGCUUCGGAUCGUUUUCAAUUCGACCUUUCAAAUUCGACUCGCUUCGUAUUUCCUUAUUAACGAACUCGCGAAAGUAGUUCUUCCUAUAUUCCAGUGAUUUGACACUUUGGUGGUUUGACUUGUUCUCUAUAUUUUCCAGUUAUUUGACACUUUUGGUUUGACAGCUUUCCACAAAUUUUGUUUUGUUUUGAUUGAAUUUGUGAAAUUUGCGGUGAUUUAUUUAAUAAACAAUAUUAAAAUUAAAAAAUGGAAUCAAUUAUGGUGUAUAUUUAUUCUGAAAGUGAGGAAUUUGAGGAAUCCCAGGAAUCCUCAAGAUAACGGAUGUCCAGGAGACUACUAAGGAGCAAAUCUUCUCCUCUAGAUCUCCCUUCAACUGAGUAAGUAUUGUUUCCUUUUAGUUGAAAUCAAAUUAAUCAAUUAAUUUACACACUUUGUCUUAAUAGAUUUAUCAAACUAUUUCGACUUUCGAAAGAAGCUUUUGUCCUCAUUUUGCAAGAGAUCAGUGAGGAAUUCAAGGAUCAGAACAGCAACGGCAUUCCUUCAAUUUUAAAGCUUGCCGCUACUAUGAGAUUUCUUGCUGAGGGAUCGUACCAAAAGGGAGUUGGACAAGACGUACUGCUUGGAAUGGCACAACCAACAGUCUCAAACGUUUUGUCUGAAACUCUUAAAAUUAUUGAGAGAAAGUUGUACCCAAAAAUGAUAAAUUUUAAAAUGAAUGAACAGGAAAAGCUAGAAGCAAAAACAGCAUUCUAUGAAAAUAGUGGUUUUCCUGGGGUAUAUUAUAAUGUGCGUUGAUGGAACGCAUGUAAGCAUUAUACGUCCUACAACAAAUGAACACCAUUUUUACAACAGAAAAGGAUAUCAUAGCUUAAAUAUAAUGGUGGUGAGUAUAUUCGUGUAAAAUAAGGUCAUUUUUAAAUUAUUUAUAUUAUUUUACAGGCCUGUGACCACAAAAUGAGGAUAACUUGCGUUAAUCCCAAUUACAGGGGAAGUUCUCAUGACUCUGUUGUGUGGUCAAUGAGUAAAGAGAGAGCUUUUAUGGAAGAACAAUUUAAACAUGGGGAUAGCAGUAAGAUUCUCGGUGACGCUGGUCGAAGUGUCGAAACGUAAUUGAACGAAGUUUUGGCCUGAUGAAGGGAAGGUUUAGAUGCCUUUUGCAAUCUAGACAGUCGCAUUAUCGUCCGGAGAAGGCUGCACGCAUUGUAAAUGUAUGUGCUAUGUUGCACAAUGUGUGUAUAAAGUUUAAUACCCCGUUGGAUGAAGAAUUUAAAUCACAAGUCAUGGAUGAUGUCUCAGACUUAGUUUCCACAUCUGAAGCAAAUAAUUAUUCCAAUACUUCAAAACAAAUAAGAAAUCGAAUAAAAGAUAGCUUGUAAAUAAAAUUAAUAAAAAAAAAUCA
This is a long non-coding RNA of Eupeodes corollae, 1852 nucleotides long. RefSeq lists it as uncharacterized. The transcript is spliced from 2 exons. Lineage: Eukaryota; Metazoa; Arthropoda; Insecta; Diptera; Syrphidae. The record is from RefSeq and is a predicted model, not a curated record.